Molecule: ribosomal RNA, 465 nt
Filed under: uncultured bacterium
Lineage: Bacteria
Description: bacterial SSU rRNA
Rfam family: Bacterial small subunit ribosomal RNA
Source: RNAcentral
GGAGGAAAGUAGGGGAUCGAAAGACCUUGCGCUAAAGGAGCGGCUGAUGUCUGAUUAGCUAGUUGGUGAGGUAAAGGCUUACCAAGGCGACGAUCAGUAGCUGGUCUGAGAGGACGGCCAGCCACACUGGGACUGAGACACGGCCCAGACUCCUACGGGAGGCAGCAGUGGGGAAUUUUGGACAAUGGGCGAAAGCCUGAUCCAGCCAUGCCGCGUGAGUGAAGAAGGCCUUCGGGUUGUAAAGCUCUUUUAGUCGGAAAGAAAAAAUCAUGGUUAAUAGCCAUGAUUUAUGACGGUACCGACAGAAAAAGCACCGGCUAACUACGUGCCAGCAGCCGCGGUAAUACGUAGGGUGCGAGCGUUAAUCGGAAUUACUGGGCGUAAAGGGUGCGCAGGCGGCCUUGUAAGUCAGAUGUGAAAGCCCCGGGCUUAACCUGGGAAUUGCGUUUGAAACUACAAAGCUAG